This 110-nucleotide non-coding RNA is filed under the name Acholeplasma brassicae. RNAcentral's name for it is "SAM riboswitch aptamer (S box leader)". It matches the Rfam family "SAM riboswitch aptamer (S box leader)". Rfam says of the family: The SAM riboswitch is found upstream of a number of genes which code for proteins involved in methionine or cysteine biosynthesis in Gram-positive bacteria. The SAM riboswitch acts at the level of transcription termination control. The predicted structure consists of a complex stem-loop region followed by a single stem loop terminator region. The record is from Rfam by way of RNAcentral. RNAcentral also lists the same sequence under 1 other name. Lineage: Bacteria; Bacillati; Mycoplasmatota; Mollicutes; Acholeplasmatales; Acholeplasmataceae.
CUACCAUAAAGAGAAGGUAAGAGACAAGCUCGAUGACCCUUCAGCAACCUGCAGACGCAAGGUGCUAAAGCUUGAAUGAUGGGAAACACUAAACCCAUCAUAGAUGGUUU